UUAUGUUGAAGCUGUUCUUAACAGUCUUGCAGCCAAUGUGCCCAAAGCAGUUGUUCUCUGCCAAGUAGAGAAGGCAAAAGAAGACAUGCUUACUAAACUGUAUAGUUCUAUCAGCGCCCAAAGUACUGCAAAGAUUGAAGAGCUGCUCCAGGAAGACCAGAAUGUAAAACGCAGGAGAGAGCGCAUACAAAAACAAUCUUCUCUUCUUUCUAAACUUACUAGACAACUCAGUAUCCAUGACAAUAGAGCAGCAGCUGCUGCCAUCUACGCUAAUGGUGAAGCAGAAAGUAGUCCAACAGCAUCAAGCCCGUCAUCUGGUGAUGAUUGGAGGUCUGCAUUUGAUGCUGCUGCAAAUGGCUCUUCUAGUCAUUCUAGGUAUGGAUCAAGUGGCAGUA
RNAcentral lists this unclassified non-coding RNA (395 nucleotides) under Hevea brasiliensis (rubber tree). The record is from RNAcentral. Lineage: Eukaryota; Viridiplantae; Streptophyta; Magnoliopsida; Malpighiales; Euphorbiaceae.